UUGCUCACUUCCGCAGCACAUGGACUAAAAUUGGAACGAUACAGAGAAGAUCAGCAUGGCCCCUGCACAAGGAUGACACACAAAUUCAUGAAGUGUUUCAUUUUAAA
Molecule: small nuclear RNA, 107 nt
Filed under: Mandrillus leucophaeus (drill)
Lineage: Eukaryota; Metazoa; Chordata; Mammalia; Primates; Cercopithecidae
Source: RNAcentral